UACGGAGUGGCCGAGUUGGAUAGGCACGAGUCUCUGAAACUCGCACACGCUGGUUCGACUCCAGCCUCCGUAA
RNAcentral lists this transfer RNA (73 nucleotides) under Acidobacteria bacterium 13_1_20CM_3_53_8. Its description in RNAcentral is "tRNA-Gln". It matches the Rfam family "tRNA". Rfam says of the family: Transfer RNA (tRNA) molecules are approximately 80 nucleotides in length. Their secondary structure includes four short double-helical elements and three loops (D, anti-codon, and T loops). Further hydrogen bonds mediate the characteristic L-shaped molecular structure. tRNAs have two regions of fundamental functional importance: the anti-codon, which is responsible for specific mRNA codon recognition, and the 3' end, to which the tRNAs corresponding amino acid is attached (by aminoacyl-tRNA synthetases). tRNAs cope with the degeneracy of the genetic code in two manners: having more than one tRNA (with a specific anti-codon) for a particular amino acid; and 'wobble' base-pairing, i.e. permitting non-standard base-pairing at the 3rd anti-codon position. Lineage: Bacteria; Pseudomonadati; Acidobacteriota. The record is from RNAcentral.